UUUUUGUUCAAGGUAUUUUCAUUGGCAAAACCCCUUUUAAGACAUGCACAUCCGGAUAAAGAAUUGGCCAAAGAAUUGCAUAAGUUGAAGCGAAAUCUCUAUAAG
This is a long non-coding RNA of Hibiscus syriacus, 105 nucleotides long. RefSeq lists it as uncharacterized. The record is from RefSeq and is a predicted model, not a curated record. Lineage: Eukaryota; Viridiplantae; Streptophyta; Magnoliopsida; Malvales; Malvaceae. The transcript is spliced from 3 exons.